Molecule: long non-coding RNA, 543 nt
Filed under: Cottoperca gobio
Lineage: Eukaryota; Metazoa; Chordata; Actinopteri; Perciformes; Bovichtidae
Description: lncRNA (ENSCGOG00000009529.1)
Source: RNAcentral
CAUGAGAUGUGAGAUGAGAAUGAAACAUUUUCAUUAGAAGGGAGGAGAGUCCCCGGUCAGAGACGAGGCCAGAGCUGAUCUGAGCCAAUGACAUCCCCCCCCAAUUCUUUCCUUUUUUUUUUUUUUUUGUCCUUCUUACUUUCCCCAGCUGUCAUUCUCUGCGGUAUGUGGCAAGCUGAUUGAAAUCAGCACUGUGUCAGGGCCGUCAUAUCUCAGAAAGACAUAAAACAUGCAGAAACAUCAAUAAGCAACAGGCCGCUGACAGCUCUCAGGCACCGAUGGCGGCGAGGAGAGAUGAGGGGAAGGUUAGGACUCUGGGGGGAUGCUGUGCAGUUGAAGUGUCUUCUUCAGGCUUCACUGAGACCCAGGGAAGACAAGAUAAAGUCUAUCAGGUUAUCGCCUAGUUCAAGUUGCUUCUCGGACAGCAAGGCCACUGGGAUCUUGGAUGUCAGAAGAUCUGUGCGUGUGUGUGCGAGCUUAUGUGUGUAUACACGCCUCCCACCACUCCUCCAUGUUCUCCUCCAUCUGCCUCCUGUCCAUUGA